This 135-nucleotide ribosomal RNA is filed under the name uncultured eukaryote. Its description in RNAcentral is "partial 18S ribosomal RNA". It matches the Rfam family "Eukaryotic small subunit ribosomal RNA", at positions 1299 to 1458 of the family's 1831-position model. The record is from RNAcentral.
UCGUGAGGUCACUUGUCAGGUUAAUUCCGAUAACGAGCGAGACCAGAACCUUUAUUUGGUUGCCCUCACCUUGGUGGGUGGUGACCUCAUAGAGGGACUACGGGCGUUAGCUCGGGGAAGUUUCUGGCAAUAACA